UACGAUGGGGGCUAGCGUUGCUCGGAAUCACUGGGCGUAAAGCGCACGUAGGCGGCUUUCUAAGUCAGGGGUGAAAUCCUGGAGCUCAACUCCAGAACUGCCUUUGAUACUGGGGAGCUCGAGUCCGGAAGAGGUGAGUGGAACUCCGAGUGUAGAGGUGAAAUUCGUAGAUAUUCGGAAGAACACCAGUGGCGAAGGCGGCUCACUGGUCCGGUACUGACGCUGAGGUGCGAAAGCGUGGGGAGCAAACAGG
Molecule: ribosomal RNA, 253 nt
Filed under: uncultured bacterium
Lineage: Bacteria
Description: partial 16S ribosomal RNA
Rfam family: Bacterial small subunit ribosomal RNA
Source: RNAcentral